Molecule: unclassified non-coding RNA, 462 nt
Filed under: Hevea brasiliensis (rubber tree)
Lineage: Eukaryota; Viridiplantae; Streptophyta; Magnoliopsida; Malpighiales; Euphorbiaceae
Source: RNAcentral
GGACAGCUACUGGUGGUAUCUUGACCUGCGUCAUUAUGGUUCAGGUCAGAAAUGUACUCAUUGAAGCUAAUGAUUCUCGCAGAUUGUUGGUGAGAUUGGCAUAUGUUGAAAUCAAUUGCGUAAAUUCUAGUUUCUUCUAAGUUCGUUGUCAUAUCUACUAAGCAAGAAUGACUAGUAGAAAACAAUGUUUCUACUCAAUACAUUUUCUCUGACCCACUGUGGUGAGGGGCUCCCACAAAUGACAAUCAUGCCAGCAAUUAUUUUCUUGAAGGUUCAUUUGGGUGGAGGGGUCUUCUGCAUGAAUGAUUCCUCAAGGUGCAAAUCAAGGUAGAUGUGAGGAACUCUAGAGUGAUUCUUAAGAAAAUGAACCUGAGAGGGAGAGGGGCGCCAAAAAUGUAUGUUCUUAAUGAAGUCAUCAUAUUAAGACUAUGCAAAGGCAUUUGCAUGUGCUUAGAUUAAAUU